RNAcentral lists this ribosomal RNA (563 nucleotides) under uncultured bacterium. RNAcentral's name for it is "bacterial SSU rRNA". It matches the Rfam family "Bacterial small subunit ribosomal RNA", at positions 338 to 916 of the family's 1533-position model. The record is from RNAcentral.
CCUACGGGAGGCAGCAGUAGGGAAUAUUGCACAAUGGGCGAAAGCCUGAUGCAGCAACGCCGCGUGCGCGAAGAAGGCCUUCGGGUCGUAAAGCGCUUUUCGGGGAGAUGAGGAAGGACAGUAUCCCCGGAAUAAGGCUCGGCUAACUACGUGCCAGCAGCCGCGGUAACACGUAGGAGCCAAGCGUUAUCCGAAUUCACUGGGCGUAAAGCGCGUGUAGGCGGCUUGAUAAGUUGGAUGUAAAAGCUCCUGGCUCAACUGGGAGAGGACGUUCAAUACUGUCAGGCUAGAGGACGGCAGAGGGAGGUGGAAUUCCCGGUGUAGUGGUGAAAUGCGUAGAUAUCGGGAGGAACACCAGUGGCGAAGGCGGCCUUCUGGGCCGUUACUGACGCUCAGACGCGAAAGCUAGGGGAGCGAACGGGAUUAGAAACCCCGGUAGUCCUAGCCGUAAACGAUGUAGACUUGGUGUAGGUGGUGUAAAAGCCAUCGGUGCCGAAGCUAACGCGAUAAGUCUACCGCCUGGGGACUACGGCCGCAAGGUUAAAACUUAAAGGAAUUGACGG